Molecule: non-coding RNA, 1161 nt
Organism: Podarcis lilfordi (Lilford's wall lizard)
Lineage: Eukaryota; Metazoa; Chordata; Lepidosauria; Squamata; Lacertidae
Source: the annotation of a GenBank genome assembly
CAGCAACCCACUUUUCAGGAUGGUAGCAUAAUGGCUCUUCUCUCCCUCUGCCCUGAUGAAUCCUGAAAAAAUAUUAAGCCCCAGGUAGAGAAGGAUGCAGAUAAAAACACGGUUAAGAAGCAAGGGAUGAGAGGCAAGGAUAAGGGAGUCUUAUAUCUCCCAGAGCGAUCCAUUUGUUUGGGUAUCUUGGAAAGUAGUAAUAUGGAGAAGCCUCAAGGAGAAUUCCAAAAAUCAACAAUGUGGGAAUUGAGAGGGGUACAGUUAUAGUGUCCUGAUUAGUGUUAACUUUAACACAAACUGCAGAAACAAACAAGCAAGCAAGAAAAUCAAACCAUCCUCGAUUGUAGGCCAACCUUGACAACUGGGCCACCCACCUGUCAAUCACCUGAUGUCACAAUGAUGUCAAGUGACCUGUUGAAAUCAAGCCAUGUGGGCAAAGGCACAGAUGUUUGCAGGUGCUGCCCAUCAGCUUUCAGCAGGAAGUCUUGUCUUUACCUGCCUCGCAUCUCACAUCAUGGCUUGGCUGAAAUGACUUGGUGGACCAAAUGAGGAGGUCUGGCAAACUGAUUUGGCCAGAGGUUCCCCACCCCUGUUGAAACCCAUGAUAGAAGCAAGGUCAAAUGCUACCAAUGGUAACAGAGAACGUGCCCCAGAGCCGCGGAGAGGUGUUGUCCAGUACUGACAUGUGCAUACACUGGAGCUUGCUCAGGAACAGUAGAAGGUUUCAGCAGUAAGAGCCAGUGUGGUGUGGUGGUUAAGAGUGGUAGAUUCGUAAUCUAGGGAACCAGGUUCGUGUCUCCGCUCCUCCACAUGCAGCUGCUGGGUGACCUUGGCCUAGUCACACUUCUCUGAAGUCUCUCAGCCUCACUCACCUCACAGAGUCUUUGUUGUGGGGGAGGAAGGGAAAGGAGAAUGUUAGCCGCUUUGAGACUCCUUCGGAUAGUGAUAAAGCAGGAUAUCAAAUCCAAACUCUUCUUAUUCUUUUUCUUCUUCUUCAGCACCUGCUCUGAGGGAUACCUUAGGAAAUCCUGGGCAAUCCCACCAGAGCAUGAAGGAACAUAUGCACAUCAGAUCCCACUGUGCUUGUAAGCAGCAGGACCAAUUAAAAUUUUAGAAGAAUAAAAUGUUGAAAGAGGAAGAACGAUUAUAUGCUCCAGAGAC